CAGCCGCCGCGGUAAUACGUAGGUCCCGAGCGUUGUCCGGAUUUAUUGGGCGUAAAGCGAGCGCAGGCGGUUAGAAAAGUCUGAAGUGAAAGGCAGUGGCUCAACCAUUGUAGGCUUUGGAAACUGUUUAACUUGAGUGCAGAAGGGGAGAGUGGAAUUCCAUGUGUAGCGGUGAAAUGCGUAGAUAUAUGGAGGAACACCGGUAGCGAAAGCGGCUCUCUGGUCUGUAACUGACGCUGAGGCUCGAAAGCGUGGGGAGCGAACAGGAUUAGAUACCCCAGUAGUCCCUGUCUCUUAUACA
RNAcentral lists this ribosomal RNA (301 nucleotides) under uncultured bacterium. RNAcentral's name for it is "partial 16S ribosomal RNA". It matches the Rfam family "Bacterial small subunit ribosomal RNA", at positions 509 to 808 of the family's 1533-position model. The record is from RNAcentral.